RNAcentral lists this transfer RNA (74 nucleotides) under Candidatus Gottesmanbacteria bacterium. Its description in RNAcentral is "tRNA-Trp". It matches the Rfam family "tRNA". From Rfam's summary of the family: Transfer RNA (tRNA) molecules are approximately 80 nucleotides in length. Their secondary structure includes four short double-helical elements and three loops (D, anti-codon, and T loops). Lineage: Bacteria; Candidatus Gottesmaniibacteriota. The record is from RNAcentral.
AGGGGUGUCGUUCAGUGGUAGGACCUUGCUCUCCAAAAGCAAUGACGAGGGUUCGAUUCCUUCCACCCCUGCCA